Molecule: ribosomal RNA, 292 nt
Filed under: uncultured bacterium
Lineage: Bacteria
Description: partial 16S ribosomal RNA
Rfam family: Bacterial small subunit ribosomal RNA
Source: RNAcentral
GUGCCAGCCGCCGCGGUAAUACAGAGGGUGCGAGCGUUAAUCGGAAUUACUGGGCGUAAAGGGUGCGUAGGUGGUUGAAUAAGUUAGGUGUGAAAGUCCCGGGCUUAACCUGGGGAUUGCGCCUAAUACUGUUUAGCUAGAGUACUGUAGAGGGAGGUGGAAUUUCCGGUGUAGCGGUGAAAUGCGUAGAUAUCGGAAGGAACAUCAGUGGCGAAGGCGACUUUCUGGACAGAUACUGACACUGAGGCACGAAAGCAUGGGGAGCAAACAGGAUUAGAUACCCCGGUAGUCC